CGAGGUCCCAGGAAUUGAAACUGCUGAGUCACAGGGUCUGCUCCCUGUCAGCCUUGUUAAAAUGCAUCCAUAGUGGUUGACCCUUUUAAUGCUGGGACCAUAUAGCCCAUGAAUCCAGAUAUCUCUGUUCUAUUGCAUCAUCAGUUUCCUCCACUGUAGGGAAGAGCAAGAGUAGGAAUAACAGCCACCGCCUUCCCGCAUUAAACGGUGUCCGUGUCAUUUAUCAUCCGCAGAAGGACACUUCUGAGACUAAGAGAAGGCAUUAACGCUGUUUUCUAAAGUGGGGAUGCGUGACCUUCCCAGACACUGUGGACGCAGAUCUGAAACGUGUGCAUGCAGUCAAGCCAGCGCCUGUACCUGGGGCCGUGCCAGCCUCUAUAAGACUGGUGGAGGAUGGAGAUGCCCUGGUCAAACCCAGGAGGACCCGCCCCCCCCCCAAGAAGAGGGUCAG
This is a non-coding RNA of Sus scrofa (pig), 451 nucleotides long. The record is from RefSeq and is a predicted model, not a curated record. Lineage: Eukaryota; Metazoa; Chordata; Mammalia; Artiodactyla; Suidae.